GGCAGGGUAGCUCAGGGGUAGAGCAAAGGACUCAUAAGCCUUGGGUCGGGGGUUCGAAUCCCCCCCCUGCUA
RNAcentral lists this transfer RNA (72 nucleotides) under Akkermansiaceae bacterium. Its description in RNAcentral is "tRNA-Met". It matches the Rfam family "tRNA". Rfam says of the family: Transfer RNA (tRNA) molecules are approximately 80 nucleotides in length. Their secondary structure includes four short double-helical elements and three loops (D, anti-codon, and T loops). The record is from RNAcentral. Lineage: Bacteria; Pseudomonadati; Verrucomicrobiota; Verrucomicrobiia; Verrucomicrobiales; Akkermansiaceae.